UUGGCCUGAAGUCAAGCAANAAAACCCACUGAAUUUAAGCAUAUAANUGAGUGGAGGAUGAGAAACUAAACAGGAUUCCUUUA
This 83-nucleotide ribosomal RNA is filed under the name Protoceratium reticulatum. RNAcentral describes it as "partial 28S ribosomal RNA". It matches the Rfam family "Eukaryotic large subunit ribosomal RNA", at positions 1 to 82 of the family's 3401-position model. Lineage: Eukaryota; Dinophyceae; Gonyaulacales; Protoceratiaceae. The record is from RNAcentral.